RNAcentral lists this ribosomal RNA (465 nucleotides) under Vreelandella stevensii. RNAcentral describes it as "partial 16S ribosomal RNA". It matches the Rfam family "Bacterial small subunit ribosomal RNA", at positions 338 to 795 of the family's 1533-position model. Lineage: Bacteria; Pseudomonadati; Pseudomonadota; Gammaproteobacteria; Oceanospirillales; Halomonadaceae. The record is from RNAcentral.
CCUACGGGUGGCAGCAGUGGGGAAUAUUGGACAAUGGGCGAAAGCCUGAUCCAGCCAUGCCGCGUGUGUGAAGAAGGCCUUCGGGUUGUAAAGCACUUUCAGUGGGGAAGAAAGCCUUGGGGCUAAUACCCUCGAGGAAGGACAUCACCCACAGAAGAAGCACCGGCUAACUCCGUGCCAGCAGCCGCGGUAAUACGGAGGGUGCGAGCGUUAAUCGGAAUUACUGGGCGUAAAGCGCGCGUAGGCGGUCUGAUAAGCCGGUUGUGAAAGCCCCGGGCUCAACCUGGGAACGGCAUCCGGAACUGUCAGGCUAGAGUGCAGGAGAGGAAGGUAGAAUUCCCGGUGUAGCGGUGAAAUGCGUAGAGAUCGGGAGGAAUACCAGUGGCGAAGGCGGCCAUCUGGACUGACACUGACGCUGAGGUGCGAAAGCGUGGGUAGCAAACAGGAUUAGAUACCCGAGUAGUC